GUUGUUGAGGAAGAUAAUGACGGUACUCAACAAGGAAGUGACGGCUAACUACGUGCCAGCAGCCGCGGUAAAACGUAGGUCACAAGCGUUGUCCGGAAUUACUGGGUGUAAAGGGAGCGCAGGCGGGAAGACAAGUUGGAAGUGAAAUCUAUGGGCUCAACCCAUAAACUGCUUUCAAAACUGUUUUUCUUGAGUAGUGCAGAGGUAGGCGGAAUUCCCGGUGUAGCGGUGGAAUGCGUAGAUAUCGGGAGGAACACCAGUGGCGAAGGCGGCCUACUGGGCACCAACUGACGCUGAGGCUCGAAAGUGUGGGUAGCAAACAGGAUUAGAUACCCUGGUAGUCCACACCGUAAACGAUGAUUACUAGGUGUUGGAGGAUUGACCCCUUCAGUGCCGCAGUUAACACAAUAAGUAAUCCACCUGGGGAGUACGACCGCAAGGUUGAAACUCAAAGGAAUUGACGGGGGCCCGCACAAGCAGUGGAGUAUGUGGUUUAAUUCGACGCAACGCGAAGAACCUUACCAAGUCUUGACAUCCCUUGACGAACAUAGAAAUAUGUUUUCUCUUCGGAGCAAGGAGACAGGUGGUGCAUGGUUGUCGUCAGCUCGUGUCGUGAGAUGUUGGGUUAAGUCCCGCAACGAGCGCAACCCUUAUGGUCAGUUACUACGCAAGAGGACUCUGGCCAGACUG
RNAcentral lists this ribosomal RNA (690 nucleotides) under Faecalibacterium prausnitzii. RNAcentral describes it as "bacterial SSU rRNA". It matches the Rfam family "Bacterial small subunit ribosomal RNA", at positions 435 to 1151 of the family's 1533-position model. Lineage: Bacteria; Bacillati; Bacillota; Clostridia; Eubacteriales; Oscillospiraceae. The record is from RNAcentral.